This 465-nucleotide ribosomal RNA is filed under the name Vreelandella stevensii. RNAcentral's name for it is "partial 16S ribosomal RNA". It matches the Rfam family "Bacterial small subunit ribosomal RNA", at positions 338 to 795 of the family's 1533-position model. Lineage: Bacteria; Pseudomonadati; Pseudomonadota; Gammaproteobacteria; Oceanospirillales; Halomonadaceae. The record is from RNAcentral.
CCUACGGGGGGCUGCAGUGGGGAAUAUUGGACAAUGGGCGAAAGCCUGAUCCAGCCAUGCCGCGUGUGUGAAGAAGGCCUUCGGGUUGUAAAGCACUUUCAGUGGGGAAGAAAGCCUUGGGGCUAAUACCCUCGAGGAAGGACAUCACCCACAGAAGAAGCACCGGCUAACUCCGUGUCAGCAGCCGCGGUAAUACGGAGGGUGCGAGCGUUAAUCGGAAUUACUGGGCGUAAAGCGCGCGUAGGCGGUCUGAUAAGCCGGUUGUGAAAGCCCCGGGCUCAACCUGGGAACGGCAUCCGGAACUGUCAGGCUAGAGUGCAGGAGAGGAAGGUAGAAUUCCCGGUGUAGCGGUGAAAUGCGUAGAGAUCGGGAGGAAUACCAGUGGCGAAGGCGGCCUUCUGGACUGACACUGACGCUGAGGUGCGAAAGCGUGGGUAGCAAACAGGAUUAGAUACCCUAGUAGUC